GUGCUUACACAUGCAGUCGAACGGUGAACACGGAGCUUGCUCUGUGGGAUCAGUGGCGAACGGGUGAGUAACACGUGAGCAACCUGCCCCUGACUCUGGGAUAAGCGCUGGAAACGGCGUCUAAUACUGGAUACGAGUAGCGACCGCAUGGUCAGUUACUGGAAAGAUUUUUUGGUUGGGGAUGGGCUCGCGGCCUAUCAGCUUGUUGGUGAGGUAAUGGCUCACCAAGGCGUCGACGGGUAGCCGGCCUGAGAGGGUGACCGGCCACACUGGGACUGAGACACGGCCCAGACUCCUACGGGAGGCAGCAGUGGGGAAUAUUGCACAAUGGGCGAAAGCCUGAUGCAGCAACGCCGCGUGAGGGAUGACGGCCUUCGGGUUGUAAACCUCUUUUAGCAGGGAAGAAGCGAAAGUGACGGUACCUGCAGAAAAAGCGCCGGCUAACUACGUGCCA
This 454-nucleotide ribosomal RNA is filed under the name Microbacterium sp. Its description in RNAcentral is "bacterial SSU rRNA". It matches the Rfam family "Bacterial small subunit ribosomal RNA", at positions 44 to 510 of the family's 1533-position model. The record is from RNAcentral. Lineage: Bacteria; Bacillati; Actinomycetota; Actinomycetes; Micrococcales; Microbacteriaceae.